AAAAAAUCAAAGGUUUGUACUUUUCUCCUAUGAGCUGGCCUCUCAUAAACUUCAAGGAAAUUAUUUGCCCCACUAUUGGGUGAACCUUUGUAGAUUACACUUGUUAAUAAAGGCUCAAUAAAUGUUGCGACAUUG
RNAcentral lists this small nucleolar RNA (135 nucleotides) under Amborella trichopoda. RNAcentral describes it as "Small nucleolar RNA snoR74". It matches the Rfam family "Small nucleolar RNA snoR74". Lineage: Eukaryota; Viridiplantae; Streptophyta; Magnoliopsida; Amborellales; Amborellaceae. The record is from Rfam by way of RNAcentral.